Molecule: transfer RNA, 54 nt
Filed under: Staphylococcus epidermidis
Lineage: Bacteria; Bacillati; Bacillota; Bacilli; Caryophanales; Staphylococcaceae
Description: tRNA-Lys
Rfam family: tRNA
About the family: Transfer RNA (tRNA) molecules are approximately 80 nucleotides in length. Their secondary structure includes four short double-helical elements and three loops (D, anti-codon, and T loops). Further hydrogen bonds mediate the characteristic L-shaped molecular structure. tRNAs have two regions of fundamental functional importance: the anti-codon, which is responsible for specific mRNA codon recognition, and the 3' end, to which the tRNAs corresponding amino acid is attached (by aminoacyl-tRNA synthetases). tRNAs cope with the degeneracy of the genetic code in two manners: having more than one tRNA (with a specific anti-codon) for a particular amino acid; and 'wobble' base-pairing, i.e. permitting non-standard base-pairing at the 3rd anti-codon position.
Source: RNAcentral
UAGCUCAGUUGGUAGAGCAUCUGACUUUUAAUCAGAGGGUCAGAGGUUCGAAUC